Podarcis lilfordi (Lilford's wall lizard) is the source of this 76-nucleotide non-coding RNA. NCBI's taxonomy places the organism in Eukaryota, Metazoa, Chordata, Lepidosauria, Squamata, Lacertidae. The record is from the annotation of a GenBank genome assembly.
GCAUCCAAAAUAGCUCCGCUGGUAGAGCAUGAGACUCUUAAUCUCAGAGUCAUAGGUUUGAGCCCCGUGUUGGGCA